This is a small nuclear RNA of Gracilinanus agilis (Agile Gracile Mouse Opossum), 107 nucleotides long. NCBI's taxonomy places the organism in Eukaryota, Metazoa, Chordata, Mammalia, Didelphimorphia, Didelphidae. The record is from RefSeq and is a predicted model, not a curated record.
GGGCUUAUUUCAGCAGCACAUGUAAUAAAAUUGGAACAAUAUAGAGAAGAUUAGCAUGGUCCCUGCAUAAGGAUGACACACAAGUUUGUAAAGCAUUCCCAUAUUUU